Vibrio sp. JCM 19236 is the source of this 51-nucleotide non-coding RNA. The record is from Rfam. Lineage: Bacteria; Pseudomonadati; Pseudomonadota; Gammaproteobacteria; Vibrionales; Vibrionaceae.
CGUGUGGUGUUCAGCGUUGAGCUGUAUAGCGACACGGCCUAUAUAUGAGGU